Molecule: ribosomal RNA, 552 nt
Filed under: Triticum aestivum (bread wheat)
Lineage: Eukaryota; Viridiplantae; Streptophyta; Magnoliopsida; Poales; Poaceae
Description: partial small subunit ribosomal RNA
Source: RNAcentral
AUGGAGAAGAGCUCGUUAGAGGAUAUUAAGGGCAUUGGCGCAGAGCUGACUGGUCUGAGAAUGCUGAGCUUCUCUGGCAAAGUGGUGGCUGAGGAGGUAGUUGAUGCUUUGGUCUCCUCAAUUGCAAGGCUCCGUGACCUCAAAUACCUCUUUGUCAGUGCUAAUGGUGUGUUUUCUAAACAUUCUUGUUGCCAGAUGUACUCGCUAUCCAACCCUCCUCUCCAUAUCGAGGUACUUUAUCUGCUAGGAUGGAUAUUGAAGAGAGUUCCCAAUUGGAUUGGCGACCUCCAUUGCCUCCGCAGCCUGACUUUGUCGGUUGAGUACCUAUCGACUGAUGAGGUUCACGUUGUCGGAAAACUGCCCUCCCUCGUCGACAUGUUUCUCUCGGUGUCGAGUAUCACUGAACAUAGUGGUGCCACCAUAGUCCGCACAGGAUUAUUUCUGGUUCUGGAAGACCUUAGGUAUGCAUGGAGUUCGAGGCAGGGGCGAUUCCCAAGCUGCGACAGCUCCAUCUACAAAUACCUGAUGGGUGGGGUGGUGCUACGCCAUUAG